Molecule: long non-coding RNA, 340 nt
Organism: Eptesicus fuscus (big brown bat)
Lineage: Eukaryota; Metazoa; Chordata; Mammalia; Chiroptera; Vespertilionidae
Exons: 3
Source: RefSeq, a predicted model, not a curated record
GACAGCAUCGCCGCCGCCUCUGCAGGUCUGCAAAGGGAUCGGAGCGCAGGAGUCGCGGGGACUCAGGACUCAACCGGUGGGUCCUUUUACUCAUUGUCCUUCCCACCCAGCGGAGGCCCAUCAGUGAGGAACUCUUGAGACCUGGGCGAUGAAAGCAUCAAAUAAGGAAACCAAAGCUCCAGGAGGUUUACCAAAGAUCACGUAGCUUGUAGAUAGCAGAGACAAAGCCUUGAAACCAAGUCUAACCUAGCCCAAGCCACCCGCGUGUUUUACUCCUACAUCACACUGCUCCCAGGCGGUUGGUCUUCAUGGAAUCCAGGCCUGGCCUAGAAUAUCAGCU